Long non-coding RNA from Bubalus bubalis (water buffalo), 283 nucleotides. RefSeq lists it as uncharacterized. NCBI's taxonomy places the organism in Eukaryota, Metazoa, Chordata, Mammalia, Artiodactyla, Bovidae. The record is from RefSeq and is a predicted model, not a curated record. The transcript has 3 exons.
UUCAAGGAUCUUAUAGCCCCGAACCUGACCAGCACUCAGCAUCAACACACUCGUCUGGUGACCUCAUUUCAUCAUCUCCUAAAGCAGGAAGUACGACAUCAGAGGCGGGAGCAGGCUGGGCAUGCUGGAAAAAAGCAGGAGAAACGCAGACGUGACAGGAGCAGGCUGACCUAAGGAACCCUCCUUCGAGGCCAUUGAAGAAAGUAACCUGAGGCUCACAUGGCCUCCUCCAGCGGCAGGGCCUGGCCUCCAGCAGCCCCUCACGGCUUCCUUUCCACACCCA